Long non-coding RNA from Rhincodon typus (whale shark), 1286 nucleotides. RefSeq lists it as uncharacterized. The transcript has 2 exons. NCBI's taxonomy places the organism in Eukaryota, Metazoa, Chordata, Chondrichthyes, Orectolobiformes, Rhincodontidae. The record is from RefSeq and is a predicted model, not a curated record.
CAGGGAAACUGGAUCCUGACAGGAGCGUGGGUGGCUCACAAUGCCCUGAAACUGUGGGAUUAUCGGAGCCUACGGCAGGAGAAGACAAUUCCGUUUCCCGUCGGGAAGGGGGAGAGCGAGUUUCUGUACACUGCCCAGUUCUGUAACAGUGAGGUGGUCAUCAGCGGAGGCAGUGGGACACACAGUGCACACGCUAUCAACUACAAAACAGACCAGGAUCUUGGUGAGGUAGCACUGGGCAGAAACACUGUCCAGGCUGUGGAUAGUGCCCUCGAUGGCCAGCUGAUUGCAGUGGCAGGUGUGAAUGGGAACCUCCACCUUGCUACUCUCUAUUAGCCUGGUGAAGAGCAGCAACAUUUCCCCUGGUGAAGCCAGCGCUGCUGAGCUGGGCAAAAGGGAGGCAGGUGCCAACUGGAGAGCCCAUUGCCAGGAGAUGACCAGCCUCGCUCACUCGCCAGUGUCCAGAGCAGCCAGCAGCACCGUGCUGAUCCUGCAGUGUUUGGAAGGGCACGGUGGUGGGAAUUCUACUUUGUAUGAUUCAUUGUUAGAAACCGAGAUGUAAUUCAGCUUUAGGCAAUCCCCCAGCCUUUCAGGGAAACCACACCGAGAGCUCAAUAAGUUCACCGAAUGGUGUUGUCACACCUGGCCACUGAAAUGUCUAUUAAACACAGGAAAUAUGCUUUCAUCGAGUCAAAGCCACAUAUGUCACACUUCAUGAAGUAACUCCUGACUUAGUGAAAUUGGUGAUGGCACUGUACAAAUAAACCUGAAAUAGACAGCAGUUUCUUAUAUUCGAGUCAAACUUUUAUUCAACUUAACAUGGGCUCAACCCAGCCGUUCUCAGUGACACCCAAAACAGUUGCAUGUCUCUUGAUUAAAAAAUAUUUUAGUUUUAUCUGAUCUUGGGUUGUCAGUUAUGUUGCUAUUUGUACAUAUUUUAGCCAAGCAGUUGUUUUGGUUAUUUUUGACAGUAGAAACGCAUUAUGCUUUCCACUUGUAUCAUUGCCCACCAUCUUCUUCAACAAGACCUGAUUCUUAUCCCCGUGGCCACUGUGAGCCCUGACACCCUCCAUGCACCAGUAAUGACUGAUCACACAGAACCAUUCCACCUUCCCAAGGAUCGAAGAGAUUUGGAGCAAAUUUUCUGGAAUGGGGAGGUCUGAGUGAAGAGAGAGAGAGACUGACUCUGGCAAGCCAGACCAUCCCUCCAGUGCUCUGUUUGGGACUAAACUAUGACCAAAACUGUGCAGCCUAAGUUGCCAAUAAAAUUGUUGCUUUGUUACUAA